GGAAAUUAAAAGUCCACACCUAGAGAUCCAUCUAAAACACAGAUGUCCCCUUCAGCUCUGUGGGAUAUGGGAAAAUGUAAUGGGUCCAGAAGCUGCUAUUGUUGUAAAAUUUCAGCCUCUGAAAAUGCACCAGGGAGGAGAUUUGUCAGGGCCCUGUCCCCAGUACGGACAUGAGAAGACUGAAGAGCUCGGGUCCCGACCUGAUCCCUGCCCAGGCACUAAGAACCCACAGGCCUGCACAGGAAGGGGAGGACAGAAGGAUGAGUCCUUCCUGAGCAGGGCACUGUUUCUUGGUGGGAGGACUGUGUCCUUAAUUCCCUUUUUCAUUCAUAUUGAAUGUGUUACUGAUCUUCUCUUCCAAUAAUACCAUUAUAAAUAAAGGGUAGGUAAUUUACUGAAUAAGAUUUGAUAUGAUGUGAUCUUUAUGUAAUGAAAAAUAGUCACAUUAUUAAAGUAUUUACCUAUCACAAUGUAGAAAUAAAGGAUCUUCUAGGUUCCAGCCACCAUUGCUUAUCACUUUGAAUGGCUGGGCUCUGUCUCUCUCAUAUGUCUCUCUGUUUCACCAUGUUUGUGUAAUGCCCUCACACCCAGAGUCAGUUUCAAAUAUGUGUGUGCAGGUGUACCAUGCCCUGAGUAUCCUUUAAAAACCAACGAGCCUCUCAUUCCAGACAUCCUGAAAACAUCUGUGUUUUCCAUGUAACAGCUUCCUUGACUUCUCUCCCUGUGGGCACAGGCAGACCCUCAGCAGCACCAGUGCUCCCUGGGGCACCAGGAACAGACUGUCCUUCCAUCUAUGUGGAUGUCAGUGAGGGCUGUACUACUUUACGAAUUCAACCAGUGCUGCGAGGAGGAGUCUUGCAAAGAAAUCUUGAAAAAUGAGUGAGUGCAGAGAUGGAAUUACUCUGUUGCAUUGGCCAUGAUAGAUAAAGGGACUUGAACUUGAGAACUUUGAAUGAGUGCUGACAUUCUCUGACAGGCAUCCUCACACACACACACACACACACACACACACUCACACACAGACUCGCUUACCUCCCAGAAAUCACAGACUGU
RNAcentral lists this long non-coding RNA (1053 nucleotides) under Marmota monax (woodchuck). The record is from RNAcentral. Lineage: Eukaryota; Metazoa; Chordata; Mammalia; Rodentia; Sciuridae.